Molecule: ribosomal RNA, 468 nt
Filed under: uncultured bacterium
Lineage: Bacteria
Description: partial 16S ribosomal RNA
Rfam family: Bacterial small subunit ribosomal RNA
Source: RNAcentral
GACGAACGCUGGCGGCGUGCUUAACACAUGCAAGUCGAACGGAAAGGCCCUGCUUUUGUGGGGUGCUCGAGUGGCGAACGGGUGAGUAACACGAGAGUAACCUGCCCUUGACUUUGGGAUAACUUCAGGAAACUGGGGCUAAUACCGGAUAGGAGCUCCUGCUGCAUGGUGGGGGUGGGAAAGUUUCGGCGGUUGGGGAUGGACUCGCGGCUUAUCAGCUUGUUGGUGGGGUAGUGGCUUACCAAGGCUUUGACGGGUAGCCGGCCUGAGAGGGUGACCGGCCACAUUGGGACUGAGAUACGGCCCAGACUCCUACGGGAGGCAGCAGUGGGGAAUAUUGCACAAUGGGCGGAAGCCUGAUGCAGCAACGCCGCGUGCGGGAUGACGGCCUUCGGGUUGUAAACCGCUUUCGCCUGUGACGAAGCGUGAGUGACGGUAAUGGGUAAAGAAGCACCGGCUAACUACGUG